CUGACAGCCUUGGACACUGAAGUCCUCUAUUUAAAAUGAACAGGUGCCACACAGACAGCAGCAGUGCAAAGGACUUAACACUGUCUCAGCAAUGUACUUCAACCCCCUCAUGGAGAAAUUACCUAUAGAAAUUAGAGGAGUUUACUUAGAAAUGAGUAAUGAAGGCUUUUCAGUCCAUGGCUUCUCCUGCAAGCCCUGAC
This 200-nucleotide small RNA is filed under the name Chelonoidis abingdonii (Abingdon island giant tortoise). RNAcentral's name for it is "TUC338 (ENSCABG00000005127.1)". The record is from RNAcentral. Lineage: Eukaryota; Metazoa; Chordata; Testudines; Testudinidae.